GACGAACGCUGGCGGCGUGCUUAAUACAUGCAAGUCGACUGAACUUAAGGUAGCAAUAUUUUAAGGGAGGUGGCGCACGGGUGAGUAACACGUAGGUAAUCUGCCUUUAGGACUGACAUAACUCCGCGAAAGCGGAGCUAAUUUCAGAUGAUGCAGCGGCUCGACAUCGAGACAGUUGUUAAACCUUCGGGGCCUAAAGAUGAGCCUGCGUCUGAUUAGGUAGUUGGCGGAGUAAUAGCCCACCAAGCCAUCGAUCAGUAGCUGGUCUGAGAGGAUGAUCAGCCACACUGGAACUGAGACACGGUCCAGACUCCUACGGGAGGCAGCAGUAAGGAAUAUUGCUCAAUGGCCGAAAGGCUGAAGCAGCAACGCCGCGUGGAGGAUGAAAUACUUUGUAUGUAAACUCCUGUAAGAAGGGAAAAUAAACAGAUUUCUGUGUUGAUUGUACCUUCAGAGUAAGACCCGGCUAACUACGUGCC
Molecule: ribosomal RNA, 479 nt
Filed under: uncultured bacterium
Lineage: Bacteria
Description: bacterial SSU rRNA
Rfam family: Bacterial small subunit ribosomal RNA
Source: RNAcentral